CACCUGUUCCCAUACCGAACACAGAAGUAAAGUCUUCCAGCGCCGAAAGUACUUGGUGGGUAACUGCCUGGGAGGAUAGGACAUUGCGGGAC
RNAcentral lists this ribosomal RNA (92 nucleotides) under Firmicutes bacterium HGW-Firmicutes-3. Lineage: Bacteria; Bacillati; Bacillota. The record is from RNAcentral.